RNAcentral lists this ribosomal RNA (69 nucleotides) under Mentha x piperita (peppermint). Lineage: Eukaryota; Viridiplantae; Streptophyta; Magnoliopsida; Lamiales; Lamiaceae. The record is from RNAcentral.
GUGCUUGGGCGAGAGUAGUACUAGGAUGGGUAAGGCCCUUGGAAGUCCUAGUGUUGCACCCUUUUUUUU